UGGGAAUUUUGGACAAUGGGCGAAAGCCUGAUCCAGCAAUGCCGCGUGUGUGAAGAAGGCCUUCGGGUUGUAAAGCACUUUUGUCCGGAAAGAAAUCCUUGGCUCUAAUACAGUCGGGGGAUGACGGUACCGGAAGAAUAAGCACCGGCUAACUACGUGCCAGCAGCCGCGGUAAUACGUAGGGUGCAAGCGUUAAUCGGAAUUACUGGGCGUAAAGCGUGCGCAGGCGGUUUGCUAAGACCGAUGUGAAAUCCCCGGGCUCAACCUGGGAACUGCAUUGGUGACUGGCAGGCUAGAGUAUGGCAGAGGGGGGUUAGAAUUCCACGUGUAGCAGUGAAAUGCGUAGAGAUGUGGAGGAAUACCGAUGGCGAAGGCAGCCCCCUGGGCCAAUACUGACGCUCAUGCACGAAAGCGUGGGGAGCAAACAGGAUU
RNAcentral lists this ribosomal RNA (432 nucleotides) under uncultured bacterium. RNAcentral describes it as "partial 16S ribosomal RNA". It matches the Rfam family "Bacterial small subunit ribosomal RNA", at positions 356 to 779 of the family's 1533-position model. The record is from RNAcentral.